UGAAAGGCGAAACGUAAUGUGAAUCGCAACUAACAGUGAAUCAUCGAAUCUUUGAACGCAGGCCGCACCUUUCGGUAUUGUUUCGGCAAUACCGAAAGGUAUCUACGUAUGAGUGUCAGCCAAAUAUUCUUUUGGUUCAUGAGGGAGACAUGGCAAUGCUGUGUUCAACUCGUGAAUACACACGUGUCUAGCGACAUAUCACUUGAAGCUUUUGACAGUGUCUGGCCUCAUAUGUGGAAGAUUACCCGCUGGAUUUAA
RNAcentral lists this unclassified non-coding RNA (258 nucleotides) under uncultured fungus. RNAcentral's name for it is "sequence contains ITS1". The stretch from base 1 to 118 matches the Rfam family "5.8S ribosomal RNA", at positions 49 to 154 of the family's 154-position model. The record is from RNAcentral. Lineage: Eukaryota; Fungi.